UUGUAACCCGAGAUGCUGGUGCCACACCUUAUUACGUGACCACCCAGUGAGGCGUGAACACUCAGGGGCAUGAUAUACACCCUUGUGUUAGAUUUGAUAUACCAAUCAGCCGUGGACGCCCGACCAUAAAAAUGGUAUAUAUAGAUUUAACCCUAAUCAGGUAUCGUUAAAUAUCGUUAAAUCGUCGAGAACGUUCUGUCAGACGAUCAAACGAUAACUAUUCAACAAGUCGGUAAAUCACAUCGAAAACCCAAGUUCUGGUCGCAGUGAGAAGCUCUGGAUACCUUGAGGAGGGUUCACCAGCUCUGCUUCAACAACGUUGACAUGGGUAAGGCAUUUUAUUCUAUUUUUGUACACCAAACACUGUAUAUAUCUUGAAGAACCUUUGCCUUCUGUUUGGAUCAUGGUUUCUUUAUGAACAUAUUCACUGAACAUGUUGCUACCCUAUUACAGAUCUUACCAACGUCAUCAAUAGUCAAGGCAGACAUCUUUCUUCAAGAAAUCUGCCCAAAAGGAAAAACACUGAAAUUGGACCAGUAAAGCUGCAAGACUUUGUCGGCCAGUCAAAAGUGGACGCUGCAAUCCAAGGUGAAACUUUCUUUCUCAUGGUGGGGCACACGCAUGAAGAUUUGGAUCAACUGUUAAGUGUUUAGUGCAAGGGAACUUAGACAGAAGCCUGCAACAACCCGCGAUGCCCUCCUUCAAGAUUGGGGACAUCCGGACACCCACCACCAAGCUAUCAGACUUCAAGUCCUUCAUGCCUGCCCCAAGGGAAGCGACAACCCUCCCAACUAAAGUUCAAGAGGCAAUAGAGAAGAACAAUGAUAAACUGCAAAAACAAUCAAAGAUCACUCUGACAAAGCACUGAAGACAAGCGUCAGUAUCAGAACAAUAAAGAAGGAGCAGCAAGUUUUGCUGAAAUGAACAUAUUUUUUGUCUAAGCUAUGUGGCUGAGAUAUUGCCGAGGAUUGCAUUGCAGGAGUUUUGUAGUUUGUAUGUUUUUGUUUCUUAGUAAAGCUGUGUAUUUAGAAUUGUAUAUAUAUAUAAGAUAUAUAUAAGAUGAGAUGUGCACAAUGAAAUUUAUGAAACAAUAUAUGCAGUUAUAUUGUAAAAUCUUGGUUGUGUUCUAUUUUUUUCCAUAUCUGAAGUUAACCUACUUUCAGAGUACCGUAUAUCACAUGUAGGUUGUUUCUUUGAAUUCCAACUGGGGAUUAUAUAUUUGG
This 1223-nucleotide long non-coding RNA is filed under the name Haliotis rufescens (red abalone). Its description in RNAcentral is "uncharacterized LOC124112936, transcript variant X1". The record is from RNAcentral. Lineage: Eukaryota; Metazoa; Mollusca; Gastropoda; Lepetellida; Haliotidae.